RNAcentral lists this ribosomal RNA (463 nucleotides) under uncultured bacterium. RNAcentral's name for it is "bacterial SSU rRNA". It matches the Rfam family "Bacterial small subunit ribosomal RNA", at positions 36 to 518 of the family's 1533-position model. The record is from RNAcentral.
CUGGCGGCAUGCCUAAUCAUGCAAGUCGAACGGAGAUAGCAAUAUCUUAGUGGCGAACGGGUGCGUAACACGUGAGCAACCUGCCUUAUACAUCGGAAUAACAGCUGGAAACGGCUGCUAAUACCGGAUAAGACCACACCAAGGCAUCUUGGAGAGGUCAAAGCGAAUUAGCGGUAUAAGAUGGGCUCGCGUCCAAUUAGCUAGUUGGUGGGGUAACGGCCCACCAAGGCAACGAUUGGUAGCCGACUUGAGAGAGUGAUCGGCCACACUGGAACUGAGACACGGUCCAGACUCCUACGGGAGGCAGCAGUAGGGAAUAUUGGGCAAUGGAGGAAAAACCUCUUACCCAGCAAUGCCGCGUGAAUGAUGAAGGUCUUAUGGAUUGUAAAGUUCUUUAAUUGGGGACGAAAGAAAUGACGGUACCCAAAGAAUAAGCCCCGGCUAACUAUGUGCCAGCCGCGGC